AUCUAUACAGUGAAACUGCGAACGGCUCAUUAAAUCAGUUAUCGUUUAUUUGAUAGUACCUUACUACUUGGAUAACCGUGGUAAUUCUAGAGCUAAUACAUGCUAAAAGUCCCAACCCUCCGGAUGGGACGUAUUUAUUAGAUAAAAAACCAAUGCCUUCGGGCUUCUUGGUGAUUCAUGAUAACUUUACGAAUCGCAUGGCCUUGUGCCGGCGAUGGUUCAUUCAAAUUUCUGCCCUAUCAACUUUCGAUGGUAGGAUAGUGGCCUACCAUGGUUUCAACGGGUAACGGGGAAUUAGGGUUCGAUUCCGGAGAGGGAGCCUGAGAAACGGCUACCACAUCCAAGGAAGGCAGCAGGCGCGCAAAUUACCCAAUCCCGACACGGGGAGGUAGUGACAAUAAAUACUGAUACAGGGCCCAUUUGGGUCUUGUAAUUGGAAUGAGUACAAUUUAAAGCCUUUAACAAGGAACAAUUGGAGGGCAAGUCUGGUGCCAGCAGCCGCGGUAAUUCCAGCUCCAAUAGCGUAUAUUAAAGUUGUUGCANUUAAAAAGCUCGUAGUUGAACCUUGGGUCUGGGUGACCGGUCUGCGUCCCCGCAUGCACUGNAAACCCGGAUCUUUCCUUCUGGAGAAUCGCAUGCC
RNAcentral lists this ribosomal RNA (640 nucleotides) under Octospora hygrohypnophila. Its description in RNAcentral is "SSU rRNA". It matches the Rfam family "Eukaryotic small subunit ribosomal RNA", at positions 72 to 715 of the family's 1831-position model. The record is from RNAcentral. Lineage: Eukaryota; Fungi; Ascomycota; Pezizomycetes; Pezizales; Pyronemataceae.